GAUGAACGCUGGCGGCGUGCCUAAUAUAUGCAAGUCGAGCGAACAGAUGAGGAGCUUGCUCCUCUGACGUUAGCGGCGGACGGGUGAGUAACACGUGGAUAACCUACCUAUAAGACUGGGAUAACUUCGGGAAACCGGAGCUAAUACCGGAUAAUAUAUUGAACCGCAUGGUUCAAUAGUGAAAGACGGUUUUGCUGUCACUUAUAGAUGGAUCCGCGCCGCAUUAGCUAGUUGGUAAGGUAACGGCUUACCAAGGCAACGAUGCGUAGCCGACCUGAGAGGGUGAUCGGCCACACUGGGACUGAGACACGGUCCAGACUCCUACGGGAGGCAGCAGUAGGGAAUCUUCCGCAAUGGGCGAAAGCCUGACGGAGCAACGCCGCGUGAGUGAUGAAGGUCUUCGGAUCGUAAAACUCUGUUAUUAGGGAAGAACAAAUGUGUAAGUAACUAUGCACGUCUUGACGGUACCUAAUCAGAAAGCCACGGCUAACUACGUG
Molecule: ribosomal RNA, 497 nt
Filed under: uncultured bacterium
Lineage: Bacteria
Description: partial 16S ribosomal RNA
Rfam family: Bacterial small subunit ribosomal RNA
Source: RNAcentral